RNAcentral lists this long non-coding RNA (397 nucleotides) under Solanum tuberosum (potato). RNAcentral describes it as "long non-coding RNA (STUB_LNC000972)". Lineage: Eukaryota; Viridiplantae; Streptophyta; Magnoliopsida; Solanales; Solanaceae. The record is from RNAcentral.
AUAACCUGACCCUUCAUUUUUAGUAUUUGUGUUCUAGUUCAUGAUUUAGUAUUUGGUUAAGUUGGUAUUACACUUUUUACUUGAUUAGAUGGUUCGGGUUGAGACUAGAUGGUGUCCGACUAGUUGGAACGUUUAAGCUACUGUAUCAAAGUUUUCUGGUGUCUGGUGCAUCACGAUCGCGAAUCAGAUACCUGAUCGCAAAGAGUUAUUGUGAGUUAACUGAUCAAGGGGAGUUUGUUCAAUCCAGGUGCUAUACUGUACAGGUUCUUGUGAAUGAUUGAUUCGUGGUUUCUUUGAAACCUAUCCGCCACAAGUUUCCUCUCUUCGUUUCUGUUUUUCAUUUUCUAAAAAAAUUCCUUCUCUUCUGCAGGAGAGAACUUGGACAUUGAGCUUGCUG